AGAGUUUGAUCCUGGCUCAGAUUGAACGCUGGCGGCAUGCCUUACACAUGCAAGUCGAACGGUAACGGGUCCUUCGGGAUGCCGACGAGUGGCGAACGGGUGAGUAAUAUAUCGGAACGUGCCCAGUAGUGGGGGAUAACUGCUCGAAAGAGCAGCUAAUACCGCAUACGACCUNNNNNNNNNNNNNNNNNNNNNNNNNNNNUUUCGGUAUAGGAGGGGCCUACGGCCUAUCAGCUAGUUGGCGAGAUAAAAGCUCACCAAGGCUAUGACGGGUAGCUGGUCUGAGAGGACGACCAGCCUCGCUGGGACUGAGACACGGCCCAGACUCCUACGGGAGGCAGCAGUGAGGAAUUUUCCACAAUGGACGAAAGUCUGAUGGAGCAAUACCGCGUGCAGGAUGAAGGCCUUCGGGUCGUAAACUGCUUUUUAUAAGGAGCAACUAUGAGUUUACUUAUAGAAUAAGUCACGGCUAAUCACGUGCCAGCAGCCGCGGUAAUACGUGAGUGGCAAGCGUUAUCCGGAAUCAUUGGGCGUAAAGCGUCCGUAGGGGGAUAUUCAAGUGAAAUGUUAAAUCCUUCGACCCAAUCGAAGCCCUGCAUUUCAUACUGUUUAUCUAGAAGAUAGGAGAGGUAAAUAGAAUUUCCGGAGUAGGGGUAAUAUCCGUAGAGACCGGAAGGAAUACCAAUAGCGAAGGCAAUUUACUGGCCUAUUCUUGACCCUUAAGUGACGAAAGCGUGGGGAGCAAACAGGAUUAGAUACCCUGGUAGUCCACGCCCUAAACAAUGGAUACUCGACGUUCGGAGGAAUCGACCCCUCUGAGUGUCUAAGUUAACACAUUAAGUAUCCCGCCUGGGAAGUACGAUCGCAAGAUUAAAACUCAAAGAAAUUGACGGGGAUCCACACAAGCGGUGGAGCAUGUGGUUUAAUUCGAUGGUAAGCGAAGAACCUUACCAAGGUUUGACAUCCUACUAACGCCCUGGAAACAGGGAAGUGCCCGAAAGGGAAAGUAGAGACAGACGUUGCAUGGUUGUCGUCAGCUCGUGUCGUGAGAUGUCGGGUUAAGUCCCUAAACGAGCGCAACCCUCGGGCUGUGUUGUAUUUCUCACAGCCGACUGCCAGCGUAAGCUGGAGGAAGGUGGGGAUGACGUCAAAUCAGCAUGACUCUUACACCUUGGGCGACACA
This 1183-nucleotide ribosomal RNA is filed under the name uncultured bacterium. Its description in RNAcentral is "partial 16S ribosomal RNA". It matches the Rfam family "Bacterial small subunit ribosomal RNA", at positions 8 to 1220 of the family's 1533-position model. The record is from RNAcentral.